AGUGCCAUCUAACAGCCUCCUCAUUGCUUUUGCUAAAAAUGGUGUCAUGGUUUUAUGAUUUUUGGUUAUUGCUAUUCCACAUCAUAACAUCAUGUAGUGUACUGGGAGUUAAAGAGUUAAUGCUCCAGUUCUGUGGAUCGUGGAUAGUUCUGGGUACCUGGUUCUCAGAAGAGAAGAAGAGCUACAUUACCCAGAGGACUUUGCUGUUCUGUUACCGUUUUCCGCUGAGAGAGAAAGAUAAAACUGUUCGCAGAUCAUGAGACAUUCCCUCUUCUCUUCCCAUCUCUUGUCCCAGCAGCAUAUCACUCCCCAGCCAUCUCACCUUCAGCAAUUAGAGUAAGGCCUCUUCAGUUUUUGGACACUCUCUCUCAUUUUAUUGGAUUUAUUAGCUUAAGUUGUAAUUAUACUGCAUUAUAGUGUGUUAUUUUGCAUUCCGUUAUGUUCCGUAUGUUAUUUGCAACUAAUUUAGUAAAUUUGUUUGUUUCUCCUCAGAUCGUUCCCGCUGUUUUGUUUUUAGGCUCAUCUCCCUAUCCUUUUUCCCUUUUCCCUUUCCUGAGGUGUGGGCCCAUGGGUCCCCUGCCCCAAGAGUCACGGAACAGGGCCGAACCUGCCCGUAAACCGUUGACAGAUGGCAUCUGCUGUCAUGUGCCCACUGCUCUCCACCCACUGCUCACUCUUGCUGUGCUUCCAGCUCUCAGCCUCUUCUGAGGUAAUGCUUUCCAGACUGUCGCAUGAGGAAAGGCAACACAGUGAGAGGAUGAUGAUGAAGGCCACUGAAGAAAAUAGUGUUGCUCUUAAAAUCAAGUCCAGAAAAGAUUACAGAGUUGUUUCUGCAAGGAGACCCAGCAUUCUCAGUGCCAUCAGCAAAAGCUGGCAAACCUCUGCUAUGAUGGACAUGUAUACAUGAAUAAUGCCACAGAAACGCAAGCAGAGACCACAGAAAUACUCAACAUUACUAUAAUCUAAAUAUGAAGAGGAAUUGAUAAAAUGAGCAAAUUUUUCUGAGCUUUUUCAGAUUGUAUGUCUCUGGAAACAUGCUCUGCAAAGAAGAACCAACAGAGGCAGCUUUUUCAAAGCAAAGAUGUGAGCAGAGAUCAUGCUUAUGUCACUGAGUGACAUAAAUAAUUAUGUUCUGCAGUUAAAACUUGCCCAAACUAAACUGAUUCUUGUACAAUCUGACAUUUCCUGUCUUUUGUGAAACCAAAUAAAAUAUAUUUAUGAAUCA
This 1225-nucleotide long non-coding RNA is filed under the name Numida meleagris (helmeted guineafowl). Its description in RNAcentral is "lncRNA (ENSNMEG00000014990.1)". Lineage: Eukaryota; Metazoa; Chordata; Aves; Galliformes; Numididae. The record is from RNAcentral.